Non-coding RNA from Mycena maculata, 116 nucleotides. Lineage: Eukaryota; Fungi; Basidiomycota; Agaricomycetes; Agaricales; Mycenaceae. The record is from the annotation of a GenBank genome assembly.
GGUCCGGUGGUGUAGUUGGUUUAUCACAUCUGCUUCACAGGUCGUUCGACUGGAAAAUAACUGGGCAUAUUUACUUGUAUCGCAGGCGGUCCUCGGUUCGAUCCCGGGUCGGAUCA